GAUGAACGCUGGCGGCGUGCCUAAUACAUGCAAGUCGAGCGAACAGAUGAGGAGCUUGCUCCUCUGACGUUAGCGGCGGACGGGUGAGUAACACGUGGAUAACCUACCUAUAAUACUGGGAUAACUUCGGGAAACCGGAGCUAAUACCGGAUAAUAUAUUGAACCGCAUGGUUCAAUAGUGAAAGACGGUUUUGCUGUCACUUAUAGAUGGAUCCGCGCCGCAUUAGCUAGUUGGUAAGGUAACGGCUUACCAAGGCGACGAUGCGUAGCCGACCUGAGAGGGUGAUGGGCCACACUGGAACUGAGACGCGGUCCAGACUCCUACGGGAGGCAGCAGUAGGGAAUCUUCCGCAAUGGGCGAAAGCCUGACGGAGCAACGCCGCGUGAGUGAUGAAGGUCUUCGGAUCGUAAAACUCUGUUAGUAGGGAAGAACAAAUGUGUAAGUAACUAUGCACGUCUUGACGGUACCUAAUCAGAAAGCCACGGCUAACUACGUG
Molecule: ribosomal RNA, 497 nt
Filed under: uncultured bacterium
Lineage: Bacteria
Description: partial 16S ribosomal RNA
Rfam family: Bacterial small subunit ribosomal RNA
Source: RNAcentral